RNAcentral lists this non-coding RNA (45 nucleotides) under Schistosoma mansoni. The record is from RNAcentral. Lineage: Eukaryota; Metazoa; Platyhelminthes; Trematoda; Strigeidida; Schistosomatidae.
AUCUAGCUGACUAGUCCCAAAUAGAACGAAAUGCACACCCUAGAU